RNAcentral lists this ribosomal RNA (473 nucleotides) under uncultured bacterium. RNAcentral describes it as "bacterial SSU rRNA". It matches the Rfam family "Bacterial small subunit ribosomal RNA", at positions 329 to 793 of the family's 1533-position model. The record is from RNAcentral.
GUAGCGACUCCUACGGGAGGCAGCAGUGGGGAAUAUUGCACAAUGGGGGAAACCCUGAUGCAGCCAUGCCGCGUGUGUGAAGAAGGCCUUCGGGUUGUAAAGCACUUUCAGUAGGGAGGAAGGUAGUGUAGUUAACACCUGCACUAUUUGACGUUACCUACAGAAGAAGCACCGGCUAACUCCGUGCCAGCAGCCGCGGUAAUACGGAGGGUGCGAGCGUUAAUCGGAAUUACUGGGCGUAAAGCGCAUGCAGGCGGCCUGUUAAGUCAGAUGUGAAAGCCCCGGGGCUUAACCUCGGAAUUGCAUUUGAAACUGGCAGGCUAGAGUCUUGUAGAGGGGGUAGAAUUUCAGGUGUAGCGGUGAAAUGCGUAGAGAUCUGAAGGAAUACCAGUGGCGAAGGCGGCCCCCUGGACAAAGACUGACGCUCAGAUGCGAAAGCGUGGGGAGCAAACAGGAUUAGAUACCCCUGGUAG